Neopsephotus bourkii (Bourke's parrot) is the source of this 1169-nucleotide long non-coding RNA. RefSeq lists it as uncharacterized. The record is from RefSeq and is a predicted model, not a curated record. NCBI's taxonomy places the organism in Eukaryota, Metazoa, Chordata, Aves, Psittaciformes, Psittacidae. The transcript has 3 exons.
GAAAGAGGAACCUGAGCAGGAACUGAUCAUACUUCUGAGAGCAGCAACAAUAUGAAAGAAAAAUCUGCAAGAAAGGAAAUUUUAGAUGCAUGAUUCAUUUGGUACUUAUUUCAGGCAGGGGAAAUGACAGUCUGCAGUGAGAACUGGUCGGUCACCUCUCCAGCAGCUCAAGAUGUGAACGCUGUAACUGCAGCUCAUCAGGAGAGCCCAGGCCUCUGAAGAGAUGUGGUUGUCCUGAGGCCCAAGAGGUGUAGAUCCUGCAUUUGAUGGACUCUGAAUGAAAGAUUUCCUGCUACUACCCCAUCUGGAAUUGAGCCCAAAAUGCUCCGCAUAACCUAUGAAACUGGGAGUAAGGGAAGCAGAAGAACAGGGCAUAACCCUUCAAGUCAGUGGAAAAUGAACCAGGUCAGUCAACAUUUUCAUAUGUCCAUUGCCUCUAUCUGCCUCAACUGGAGUGUGCAGCUCACAGCAAAGGAAAGGGUUAAGGAUGCUGUCUCUCAAAGCAGCACUGCCACCCAUCCCCAUCUACUGAGAACACAGGAUUGGGGAUUGAUGCUGCAAGAGAUAAAGCAGAUGCCUGCCUGGGGACCCCCACCUUGAAGAAGCAGAGGACAGCAAGUGGCUGUUGGAGGGGCUGAGAAGCUGACAGCAUUUCUGGGCAGGACUACACAACCCUGACACUGGACCAAAUUUGCAGCACUAUGGCCCUGGGCUUGAAGAGCCUCAGAAUCAGUCUUUAUGACACAGCGGCCACAUUCCUGCUUCUGAAAUGACUUGCGCCUUUCUUUCUUCCCCCUGAAGCUUGGCCUACCUCCUGCUGCUCUCCAGCAGCCUGCUUUCCUACUCCAGAGUCUGAUUUUUUUUACCAGCUCCUUAAACUGAAAUUUCCUUUCUUGCAGUUUUCUUGUCUUUGUAUGUGGAAGUCAGCAACUAACCAUGCUUUGUCUUAACUAAGGUACAAAAGUUCCCAGUAACAGGACAUUUUGCAACUUGCAAAGGCCUUCCAGGAAUACCAAGUUAAACACAGGGAUGUGUUUAUCACUCUCUAAUAGCGUAUAAACUGUUUAAAGUGACAUAAUGCUUUAUAGAAGUCAGCUAAUAUACUGGAUGCUUUAAUCAGGAGAACCCUGUGGAUUUUCUCCCAACUAAGAGUUUCUCUUAGUUUCACC